CCGGAUGGCAUUGAUCAAAGAUGAUUUGCCAGAUCUCGACUCCCCUGUGACGGCGAUAUUGAACUCAACGCCUGACAAAUUCUUAAACGUCUGCACCACGGAAGCUGCUUCUAAGAAGUUUCCUGCUUUGAUAGCAGCCUCGAUCUGUUUAAUUUGCUCCAUUGACAUACCAGGAAGAAUAUUUCUGUAUUCUGCAUAUAGAUCACCAUUGAAUGUAUGGGGACCGUCAGAGCCAUCAAAUUCUGCAGAAAUAAUCGACACUGCUUAGGAGGAGACUGAAAGGGAAUCCAGGGAGAAAUAAGCCCCAAAGAGACCUGGGUAGAAAUACAAUUCUUGUGUGUUGGUGAUGGGAAACUGUCCUGACAGAAGGGCCCUGCACGUAUGUAAAUAGCUGGGUCCAAGUCCACUUUGGUGCGUACAAAGAAAAACUUCUUUCCCAUCUUCUGGAUCUCCCGGGCCAGCUUGGUGUGGCAGAAUCUGCUCCUCUCUGAAGCGAUGAUGAUGAAGACAUCAUAGCGGCUGAACUUCACUUGUUUCAGAUAAGCGUCUGGCCGAUAAUUUGGGGUUCCAAUUGCCGGCAGGUCCCAGAAGGUAACCAUAGGACACAUAGGAUGACAAUAGGGUACUGGUUCUUUGGUCAUUUCCACCACACCGGUCCCAGCAGCGCCUUCGCCUUCAGCUCCCAGGCCCCGGAUGGCAUUGACCAAAGAUGAUUUGCCAGAUCUCGACUCCCCUGUGACGGCGAUAUUGAACUCAACACCUGACAAAUUCUUAAACGUCUGCACCACGGAAGCUGCUUCUAAGAAGUUUCCUGCUUUGAUAGCAGCCUCGAUCUGUUUAGUUUGUUCCACAGGUAUACCAGGAAGAGUGUUUCUAUAUUCUGCAUAUAGGUCAUCACAGGUACGUUUGAGAUCAGCCAUCUCCCUGGGAAAAGAAAUGGUUGCGGUUAGUCUUUGUA
Mauremys mutica (yellowpond turtle) is the source of this 958-nucleotide long non-coding RNA. RefSeq lists it as uncharacterized. The transcript has 3 exons. Lineage: Eukaryota; Metazoa; Chordata; Testudines; Geoemydidae. The record is from RefSeq and is a predicted model, not a curated record.